Molecule: ribosomal RNA, 769 nt
Filed under: Staphylococcus aureus
Lineage: Bacteria; Bacillati; Bacillota; Bacilli; Caryophanales; Staphylococcaceae
Description: bacterial SSU rRNA
Rfam family: Bacterial small subunit ribosomal RNA
Source: RNAcentral
UUGCUUCUCUGAUGUUAGCGGCGGACGGGUGAGUAACACGUGGAUAACCUACCUAUAAGACUGGGAUAACUUCGGGAAACCGGAGCUAAUACCGGAUAAUAUUUUGAACCGCAUGGUUCAAAAGUGAAAGACGGUCUUGCUGUCACUUAUAGAUGGAUCCGCGCUGCAUUAGCUAGUUGGUAAGGUAACGGCUUACCAAGGCAACGAUGCAUAGCCGACCUGAGAGGGUGAUCGGCCACACUGGAACUGAGACACGGUCCAGACUCCUACGGGAGGCAGCAGUAGGGAAUCUUCCGCAAUGGGCGAAAGCCUGACGGAGCAACGCCGCGUGAGUGAUGAAGGUCUUCGGAUCGUAAAACUCUGUUAUUAGGGAAGAACAUAUGUGUAAGUAACUGUGCACAUCUUGACGGUACCUAAUCAGAAAGCCACGGCUAACUACGUGCCAGCAGCCGCGGUAAUACGUAGGUGGCAAGCGUUAUCCGGAAUUAUUGGGCGUAAAGCGCGCGUAGGCGGUUUUUUAAGUCUGAUGUGAAAGCCCACGGCUCAACCGUGGAGGGUCAUUGGAAACUGGAAAACUUGAGUGCAGAAGAGGAAAGUGGAAUUCCAUGUGUAGCGGUGAAAUGCGCAGAGAUAUGGAGGAACACCAGUGGCGAAGGCGACUUUCUGGUCUGUAACUGACGCUGAUGUGCGAAAGCGUGGGGAUCAAACAGGAUUAGAUACCCUGGUAGUCCACGCCGUAAACGAUGAGUGCUAAGUGUUAGGGGGGUUU